Stegodyphus mimosarum is the source of this 73-nucleotide non-coding RNA. NCBI's taxonomy places the organism in Eukaryota, Metazoa, Arthropoda, Arachnida, Araneae, Eresidae. The record is from Rfam.
GCCUUCGUGGUGUAGUGGUCAGCACGCUGGAUGCGUAUUUGAGGGGUCCGUGGUUCGAGUCUCGGCAAAGGCA